This 903-nucleotide ribosomal RNA is filed under the name Talaromyces verruculosus. RNAcentral describes it as "LSU rRNA". It matches the Rfam family "Eukaryotic large subunit ribosomal RNA", at positions 62 to 980 of the family's 3401-position model. The record is from RNAcentral. Lineage: Eukaryota; Fungi; Ascomycota; Eurotiomycetes; Eurotiales; Trichocomaceae.
AGACCAACCGGGAUUGCCUCAGUAACGGCGAGUGAAGCGGCAAGAGCUCAAAUUUGAAAUCUGGCCCCUUUGGGGUCCGAGUUGUAAUUUGCAGAGGAUGCUUCGGGUGCGGUCCCCGUCUAAGUGCCCUGGAACGGGCCGUCAUAGAGGGUGAGAAUCCCGUAUGGGAUGGGCGGCCGCGCCCGUGUGAAGCUCCUUCGACGAGUCGAGUUGUUUGGGAAUGCAGCUCUAAGCGGGUGGUAAAUUUCAUCUAAAGCUAAAUACUGGCCGGAGACCGAUAGCGCACAAGUAGAGUGAUCGAAAGAUGAAAAGCACUUUGAAAAGAGAGUUAAACAGCACGUGAAAUUGUUGAAAGGGAAGCGUUGUCCACCAGACUCGCCCGGGGGGGUUCAGCCGGCACGUGUGCCGGUGUACUCCUCUCCGGGCGGGCCAGCAUCGGUUCGGGCGGCUGGUGAAAGGCCCCGGGAAUGUGCCACCCUUCGGGGUGCCUUAUAGCCCGGGGUGCCAUGCAGCCAGCCUGGACCGAGGCCCGCGCUUCGGCGAGGAUGCUGGCGUAAUGGUGGUCAACGGCCCGUCUUGAAACACGGACCAAGGAGUCUAACAUCUAUGCGAGUGUUCGGGUGUCAAACCCGUCCGCGCAGUGAAAGCGAACGGAGGUGGGAGCCCCUCGGGGCGCACCAUCGACCGAUCCUGAUGUCUUCGGAUGGAUUUGAGUAAGAGCAUAGCUGUUGGGACCCGAAAGAUGGUGAACUAUGCCUGAAUAGGGCGAAGCCAGAGGAAACUCUGGUGGAGGCUCGCAGCGGUUCUGACGUGCAAAUCGAUCGUCAAAUUUGGGUAUAGGGGCGAAAGACUAAUCGAACCAUCUGGUAGCUGGUUCCUGCCGAAGUUUUCCCCCUCAGGAAA